Molecule: ribosomal RNA, 216 nt
Filed under: Triticum aestivum (bread wheat)
Lineage: Eukaryota; Viridiplantae; Streptophyta; Magnoliopsida; Poales; Poaceae
Description: partial small subunit ribosomal RNA
Source: RNAcentral
AUGACGCGAUCCCCAGCUGUGUUGCUAGUGAGAGGUCCGCCCUUCUUGCCUUCAGGGCAGGUCUAUCAGACCCUGCCAACCUCCUUUCAUCAUGGAAGGGUGACGACUGCUGCUGGUGGAAGGGCGUCUAUUGCAGCAACACAACCGGCCAUGUUGUCGAGCUGGAUCUCCAAGGCACUUAUUGCAAAACUGCAGAUUGGAGUACGCCGGUGCUAG